RNAcentral lists this unclassified non-coding RNA (278 nucleotides) under Hevea brasiliensis (rubber tree). The record is from RNAcentral. Lineage: Eukaryota; Viridiplantae; Streptophyta; Magnoliopsida; Malpighiales; Euphorbiaceae.
GUUCAAACUGAGGUUCUAAUGCUUAAAUCCUUCUAAAAUUCCCAACCCUAAGCUAAACUAACCAUACCUUGAUCGCUCGUCCUUCUGCUAAAGUUGAAAUUUAGAAAGCAUACACUUUUUAGAUUCACUCGACUUCAAACCGUUGGACUCCACGGUGUUCAUAACUCUUUAACUGCAACAUAGAUUUCAUCUACCGAGGGAUAUCCUCUAGGAUAUGCUUUGUCAACUCACUCACAACCAAAGCCAAUCCUUGGUGGAGUCCAACUGUGAAAGUGAAA